CACGUAGGGGACGAGCGUUGUCCGGAUUUAUUGGGCGUAAAGAGCUCGUAGGCGGUUCCGUAAGUCGUGAAGUCAAAUCUCUGGGCUCAACCCAGAAUCGCUUCCGAUACUGCGGUGACUGGAGUCCGGUAGGGGAGUGUGGAAUUCCUGGUGUAGCGGUGAAAUGCGCAGAUAUCAGGAGGAACACCAACAGCGAAGGCAGCACUCUGGGCCGGUACUGACGCUGAGGAGCGAAAGCAUGGGGAGCGAACAGG
RNAcentral lists this ribosomal RNA (254 nucleotides) under uncultured bacterium. RNAcentral's name for it is "partial 16S ribosomal RNA". It matches the Rfam family "Bacterial small subunit ribosomal RNA", at positions 524 to 776 of the family's 1533-position model. The record is from RNAcentral.